Molecule: long non-coding RNA, 612 nt
Organism: Dermochelys coriacea (leatherback sea turtle)
Lineage: Eukaryota; Metazoa; Chordata; Testudines; Dermochelyidae
Exons: 3
Source: RefSeq, a predicted model, not a curated record
UCUUAGGUGUGUACAUUUGCUUAAAUAUCAAUGAAGGCAAAUGCCAUUAUGAAUUGCAGCCUCAACCUGUUUCUUAUUCCCAGAUAGCGGUCAUUAAUGAUCAUUGUGUAUGUCUCGGGAGUUCUUGCAAAACAUUUAUUGUAAAUACCUUUUAUGCUAUAAAUAAUAACAUCCACCCUAACUUGUGUUUAUGUUUUGUCUUAAUCAUAGAGGGAUGAGAUGUUAGGUUUCAAUCGGAAAGGAUGACAUCUAGAGCCAUUUGAACUGCAUACUGUUUGUAUGAUCAUGUCGAACCAGUGAGUCUGGGACUAAACAUCUCUCUCAUCAGCCAACUGGUGGAGCACCCAGACCUCACCAAGCAUGUUGAUGAGGUGGUAGAAUGAGGGAAGGAGAAAGAAGAAUUACCAGCAUCAAGCAGAGUUAUUACCUACCUGUUGUCUGAGGUCCACUCCUCACUCUGCUGAGUCACCUGGUCGGUUCUGGAUUCAGUCUGCAUCGUGAGGUUCCAGAGGCAAGCUGCAAGAAAUGGCAAUCUUAAACCCUGAUGACAGAUGCAGGUAGGGAGACGAAUCUCUUGAUUGGUCUCCCGCCAUCCUGAAACCAGUAAACACU